Molecule: long non-coding RNA, 479 nt
Filed under: Equus asinus (donkey)
Lineage: Eukaryota; Metazoa; Chordata; Mammalia; Perissodactyla; Equidae
Description: lncRNA (ENSEASG00005027559.1)
Source: RNAcentral
CAAGAAAGGGAUUCUCCCCUAGAGCUUCUGGAGGGAGCGUGGACCUGCCGACACUUUGAUGUCAACCCGGUGACCCCGAUCUUGCACUUCCAUCUGCCAGAUGUGUGAGAGAAGAGAUUUCUGUUUUAAAACAUUACUUUUGUGGUAAUUUUUAAACAGCAGCAUAUGAAACCACACUCCCUUGCAGCUUAAAUCCUAUGUGUGACUCAGUUUCCAUCAAACAGAUGAACCCGACGUUAAGUGACAGUGUCAAUGGAGCAAUCAGAUCUGAAAAACACGACAGAAGUGCUGCCGACUCUGCAGGCCUUCAGACUUGGGCUGAAACUUCACCAUCAAGAUUACCAAGUGCAGACCUUGGAACUUAGCCUCCAUAAUUGCAUGAGCAAUCCCUUAUUUUAUAUAGAUUUAAAAAAUACGUAUAUAUAUAUAUAUAUAUAUAUAUAUAUAUAUUCAUUCAUCCUUUAUUGGUUCUGUUUAUU